This 325-nucleotide unclassified non-coding RNA is filed under the name Coscinoderma mathewsi. RNAcentral describes it as "sequence contains 28S rRNA gene". Lineage: Eukaryota; Metazoa; Porifera; Demospongiae; Dictyoceratida; Spongiidae. The record is from RNAcentral.
UGGCGGUGACGAAAUCGUCCCGCGAUGUCAGCCCGAGGCAGAGCCGUACUCCUCGUGGGCACGGACCAGCGGCGGUUAGAGCGGAGCCACAAGGCGCGGCGGAAGGUGAGUCGAUGCCGGCCCGUCCUGCAUUGACAGCUUAUAGCCCCGUAGUCCGGCGCUCCGCACUGACCGAGGAAGAUGGGCAGCCAUUGCCCGGCGUGGCACACGCCACACGGCGGGGCCACCCGACCCGAGUGAUCCGUGCGGUGUGGACUGCACGCAGUGCUAGCCGUUACGGUGAUCUCGUGUCGGUGUGUGCCACUUGUGUGCCAGAGCUGCUGGG